UGAUGAGAGUUAGGCAGCAUGG
This 22-nucleotide non-coding RNA is filed under the name Mus musculus (house mouse). Lineage: Eukaryota; Metazoa; Chordata; Mammalia; Rodentia; Muridae. The record is from RNAcentral.